This 72-nucleotide transfer RNA is filed under the name Bos taurus (domestic cattle). It matches the Rfam family "tRNA". Rfam says of the family: Transfer RNA (tRNA) molecules are approximately 80 nucleotides in length. RNAcentral also lists the same sequence under 4 other names. The record is from Rfam by way of RNAcentral. Lineage: Eukaryota; Metazoa; Chordata; Mammalia; Artiodactyla; Bovidae.
UCCUUGGUAACUCAGACAGUAAAGAAUCUGCCUGCAAUGCAGGAGACCUGGGUUUAAUCCCUGGUUUAGGAA